GGUGGGAGUUUAUCAAUUUCAUUAAAUGCCACAUAACAUGACAGCCUAAAAAUUGUGGUAAACAAUCAAAUGAGAAUGGCCUCCUAACUGGCAAAAGGUUGAAAUUAACAAAGAAUCGCAAGCUCAAAAACAAAAUACGAGCCAGCAGUAUGCAGAAACAAAUACCGAAAAGAAGAAUACCGUAUCACUUAAGGUUUGCCAGUAGCCGCGAUAACAUUGAACCGACCGACUAUCACGAGGUCCAAAAAAAUAACCACCACAAAAGUACCAACCAACCACAAAUAAAGUUUAAGCGGACACACCGCACCAACUGACGAUAACUCUCGGCAGCAACUGGGCCAGCCAGCAACUGCAGCACACUCAAGACUGACAACAAACCGCUUAGUCCACCUCCUCGAUCUUGGGGCCAGGGCCGCCGCUGCCGGCAGGGGCGUCCUCGUCCAUGCCGCCAGCGCCGCCCAUGUCUUCACCCGCGCCCUGGUACAUCUUGGCGAUGAUGGGGUUGCAGAGGCUCUCCAGCUCCUUCAUCUUGUCCUCGAACUCGUCCGCCUCGGCGAGCUGGUUGGCGUCCAGCCAGCUGAUGGCCGCGUCGAUGGCGUCCUCGAUCUUCUUCUUGUCAUCGGCCGGCAGCUUGGACGCAAUCUUCUCGUCCUUGAUCGUGUUGCGCAUGUUGUAGGAGUAGUUCUCCAGCGAGUUCUUGGCCUCCACCUUCUUCUUGUGCUCCUCAUCCUCAGACUUGUACUUCUCAGCGUCCUGAACCAUCUUCUCGAUCUCCUCCUUGGAGAGACGGCCCUUGUCGUUGGUGAUUGUGAUCUUGUUCUUCUGCCCCGUUGUCUUGUCCUCGGCAGACACGUUCAGGAUGCCGUUGGCGUCGAUGUCAAAGCACACGGUGAUCUGUGGCACACCACGGGGUGCAGGGGGGAUGCCGGAGAGCUCGAACUUGCCCAGCAGGUUGUUGUCGCGUGUCCGGGUCCUCUCACCCUCGUAGACCUGGAUCAGGACACCGGGCUGGUUGUCCGAGUAGGUGGAGAAUACCUGCUCCUUCUUGGUGGGGAUGGUGGUGUUCCUCGGGAUCAGCACUGUCAUAACUCCUCCAGCAGUCUCCAGACCCAGGGACAGAGGGGUGACGUCCAGCAGAAGCAGGUCCUGCACCUUCUCAUUGCCCUCACCGCUCAGGAUGGCAGCCUGGACAGCAGCACCAUAGGCGACAGCCUCAUCGGGGUUGAUGUUCUUGCACAGCUCCUUGCCGUUGAAGAAGUCCUGGAGCAGUUGCUGCACCCUGGGGAUCCUAGUGGAGCCACCAACAAGUACAACGUCAUGGACGGUGCUCUUGUCCAUCUUGGCAUCCCUCAGGCACUUCUCAACAGGCUCCAUGCACUUCCUGAACAGGUCCAUGUUGAGCUCCUCAAACCUGGCACGGGUGAUGGUGGAGUAGAAGUCGAUGCCCUCAUACAGCGAGUCAAUCUCAAUCGUGGUCUGGGCAGUGGAAGACAGAGUCCUCUUCGCCCUCUCACAAGCGGUCCUCAGCCUCCGGAGAGCCCUGGGGUUGCCAGUGAUAUCCUUCUUGUUCUUCCUCUUGAACUCCUGGACGAAGUGGUUGACCAUCCUGUUGUCAAAGUCCUCACCACCAAGAUGGGUGUCACCAGCUGUGGCCUUGACCUCAAAGAUUCCUUCCUCAAUGGUGAGGAGGGAGACAUCAAAGGUACCACCUCCAAGAUCAAAGAUGAGGACAUUCUUCUCACCGACACUGGUAGCCUUCUUGUCAAGACCAUAGGCGAUAGCUGCAGCUGUUGGCUCGUUGAUGAUACGCAGCACAUUAAGGCCAGCAAUCACCCCAGCAUCCUUUGUGGCCUGCCUCUGUGAGUCAUUGAAGUAGGCAGGGACUGUGACCACAGCAUUCUUGAUCGUGCUACCAAGGUAAGCUUCAGCAAUCUCACGCAUCUUGAUAAGAACCAUAGAGGAGAUCUCUUCAGCUGCAAACUGCUUCUCCUCACCCUUGUGCUGGACAACAAUCAUUGGCUUCUCACCAGGCCCAGAAAUGACCUUGAAGGGCCACAACUUGAUAUCACUCUGGACAGACGCAUCACUGAACCUCCUGCCGAUGAGACGCUUGGCAUCUGCAUAUGAACCCAAUCAUGUCAGAAAUGCAUUCUAAUACCAUACAAUUUGAAAUGUAACACAACAACACUUCUGUUAACAAAUACAAAACUUUGAUCAAUCAAAUGAUAUCUGCUUAUGUAACCAAGUAUACCUAACUAAUAAAAAACUGACAUGAGUCAAGAUACCAAUAGCAUAAAGGUCAAUCAACAAACUCCAAUAAUCAGACUGAUUUCAAAAAAAAUACAACUUGCUAGCUAAGAAAAAACAGACGUCAGUUUUUUCAGUCAUAAUCACUUGCCCAAACAGAUAAUGUAAACGGGCAUAUAGUAACUGGAAGCUCAUAAAUGGUCAACCAGUGUCGCAAGAUCCAUUCCCCUUUGUUUUCUGCCAUGUUUCGAGACACACAAUCACGAAAAAUGACUGCGAGUCAGAUACCAAAUGGCAUUGACUGCAACAAAUUACACACAGAAACACUUUGCAUGCAAUAAAACUCAAACUGGCAGUGCAAUCUCAGUCGAAAGAUGGUGAUUUUUGCUGUACUAAUCACAGUGGUUCAGGAAAUUGUCUUGCAUCACGGAUUGCACAUAAAAAACAACAAAUACUAUAGACUUCACAGAACUACUGCCGAAUUACAAGUUACUAUAAAACUGGCAAAAGUUUGCAAUAAAAUUGAAAUGUAGGAGAUCAGAUGGUAGUGCAUGAUGUGAUCAUCACAGUGAAUGCAGAUAUUUCCUAUGUUAUGACUUCAUCACUUCUCCAGUAAAAAUUGUACUACAACGUGAACGUUCUACUCAAGUAAAUCUCAACCACAUGCAUGAUAAAAAAAUAAGAGCAAAUAAAUAGCAGUACAACAUUUUUAAACGUUGGCAAUCAAAGCAAUGAUUGAUGUGCAGAGGUGCCAACCACCAAUCAUAUAAGGUACAAUCUAAAACUAGGGAGCCAAUAGUUGUAGCUAAAGCAAUAUGAUAAGAUAAUGAGAGAUCAGAUGGAGAUGCAUAAUGUUGGCAUCAUAGUAAAUACAGAUAUCUCGUGUGGAUACAAAUAUCAUCACUUAUCCCAUUACUUAACCAAAUAAAACUAAUGGUUUUCAUUUUGUCAUGGCUGGAAGAAGAAAAACCAAACACAAAAUCGAAGGAAACCUAAAAAAACUCUUGAUCUGCAGUUUCAGAUUGAAAACCACAAAAACUAUGAUAGCAUAGUUUUCCAUCACUGGCAUCAGUGGAAUAAAGCGCUUGGGGUAAUUGUUUCAUCAUCAAUCUGCCAAGAGUUGACAAAUAGUACUGCAGAGCCUUCGGACCAGUAUUAUAUACCAAAUAGGUGAUAAAAAACAAAUAGAUCUAAAGCUACCAUGACAAACAAUAACAGAUCUAAACCCAGCCAGAGGAAAAAUAACUACGGAACUACUACAGAUCACAGUCGCCUUCAGAUCCAACCGAUCUAGACAAAAACAUAGCCAAACUAGAUCGGAUCUGAGCUACUUUUACGACAGAAACUUAAACAUAUCAAAUCAAGCAGUAACGUAGAUGGGUCGUAUGGGUCAGACAAAACCGCUAGUCACGGUAAACAAAACGUAUCCGAGCUAGGAAAGGAGUAAGAGCCUAAAUGGUGGAGUGUACUCACCAAAGACGGUGUUGAUGGGGUUCAUGGCGACCUGGUUCUUGGCCGCAUCUCCGAUGAGGCGCUCGGAGUCGGUGAAGGCGACGUACGAGGGCGUGGUGCGGUUACCCUGGUCGUUGGCAAUGAUCUCGACGCGGUCGUGCUGCCACACGCCGACGCAAGAGUACGUCGUGCCGAGAUCGAUGCCGAUAGCCGGGCCAUCGCCCUUGCCGGCCAUCUCUUCUUCUCACUCAGCGGUUGCGGAGCACGGGAAGGGAUUGGCGGCGGCUGAGAAUGGAGCAGGGGACUAGGGUUUCGAGAGGGCGAGAGACUGAGCCGGGCAGUGGCUUUUAUAGGGAACAAAGGGCUCGUCGUCAGCGCGUGGGCUGUGGUGUUCUAGAAUGUUCCUGGGCGCGUCGUGGGGACAUCUGAGCCGUUGGCACGCGAUCGUGUGAACGAAGGCGCAUGGCGGCGUCUUUUCCACGGGCGCCUUUCGGCUAUUUAAACGGCCUUUUUUUUCCUUUCUGGUUGCUUUCACGUGAGUAAAAGGAAUCUUUGACGGAGGGAUGGGUUGUGACCAGAUCUCAGCCCAAGUCAUAUACCAUAAGUGCUGGCCGGCCCGCUUACGCUUAGAACCAGCCCACAGAGACAAGCCUCCCUGAUGAGUCAUUGUUUCGAUACUCAAUAUUCACCCCAAUCCACGUGUAAUAAAGUGGAUUAAAGUGUAAUUUAAACUAAUUUACACUCUAGUUCACCUCAAUACACAUGUAUUGAAGUAAAUAUGAGAGUAUCUAAACAAGGUCUACAUUGAUGAAGAAACUCGAUCAAACACCAUACGAGCUCUUACAAUCCCAUGCAUCCAAAUAAGCUCUACGAGAAACUUAAAUCUCCUUUGAUUAUAUAGGGGAUUUGAGUUUCUAAACUAGCCCUACAAAAUUAUUGCAUUUUUUAUCACAUCGUUUGGAAUAGACGUAGGUUCUUUUUGAAAUAAAAAAAUUGUGCAUAAAUGUAGGUUCUAGCUCUGAGCUUAAUGGAGUUAUGGAAGAUGGAGUCAACAGAGCUCUAGGAGAAGUUGCAAUUAAGACCAGCAAAAAAGUUGGAUGAAACUUCUAACGCCUUGUUCCAUUGCGUUUGAAUUGAAGAAGAUUAAAUCUUUUUCUAUUUAUUUUUUAUUAGGGAGGGAUUUAAUCUCCUUCAAUCCCCUUUGAUUCGGACACAAUCAAACAAGUCCUAAAAAGUUUGACGAGUAUGGGUAAAAACGGGACGUAUACAGACGGAUAGGGGCUCAUCUUGUAUCCUACCCUAAUGUAUUUCAAUCGGAUUCGGGAUCAUAUACAAAUAGUUAGAAACGGGAUAGAUACGGAUACAGCGACCAGAUAUUUAUUUGGACGGAUAAGUGACGGAUACAUAUGUUAUUUGGUCGGAUAUCAGAUACUUGUCGGAUAAUGCAUGAGCUGCUUAUCAUAAAAUAUUCUUGUUCAGCCAGAAAAUUGUAAAUAAAUUAUCAAGACUAAUAAACAUUUUAUAAGCAGAUAACCUCAAGUCCCCACAUAAAAAUGAUAAAGUAAAAUAUUGAUUAUGUUGAAACUUUGAUACUUGAAGUGAUUUUACGUGUAACUCACGCAAUAAAUAGAAGUGAAAUAGAAGAAACGUUGACAUCUUGUGCAUUUUAUGAUCCCAUUAUUUUUAUUGAGUAUAUGUGGUCUUAUGUUGUCCCUAUGUAUAAUUUCAUAAAUUUCUGAUGCUAUUUGUGCAUUAUUAAUUUUUUGUACAGUAAAUCAUCAAAAUGUAACUAAAUUCACAAAACACUCUAGUUUCGACCGAAAAUUGCAAAUAAGUUAUCAAAACUAAUAGGCAUUUUGUACAAAGAUAACCUCAAGUGCCCACAUAAAAAUGAUAAGUGAAGUAUUGAUCAUGUUGAAACUUUAAUACAUAGAACGAUUUUACUUGUAACUCACGCAGUAAGUGGAAGUGGAAUGGAAGAAACGCUGACAUCGUAUGAAAUUUAUGGUCUAAAUGUUUUUAGAACUAUAUGUAUAUUGUUCCUCCGUAAAAAAUAAGAAUUUUUAAAGCUAUUUUGUGUAUUAUUAUUAUUAUUUAUAUAGAAAAUCAUCCAAAUGCAACUGAAAAAAUUCCAAAAACUAAUAAACAUUGUAUACUAAGAUAACCUUAAGUUCCCAUGGGAAAAUGAUAAAGCGGAAUAUUUAUUAUAUUCCAAAAACUAAUAAACAGUCUAGCUAAGUACUCCAUGUUCCUGCUGCAGGUACAUCCGGCUGCAGCCCAAUAGUCAGAAAAGGGAGAUUGAGGCCAUGAGCUCACGUAUUGAAUUAGAGGAUGUUUGGUUCCUUUAGUCACGUAUUAUUAUUUCUAAAUUUUAGUCCCUACAAACAAACACUCGCAUAGAAGCUGUAGAAAAACACUGUUCCAACUAGUCAACCACGUAUGGGGAAAAAAAGAUGAGGACCAGCGGCGAGAAGGAAAAAUGAGAAAACGACCAAAAUUGAGCCUACACUUCGUUGCUACGUAUAGUGUUGCUGACUUGUUAAGGCAAAGGGGCAAAGUGGACAAUGUUUACUAUUCUGUGAAGUAGAACCAGGCGUCCUUACUUCGAAGGCCCAACAUCCUGGUUGUUGGGGUAUGCUUCGUAGCCGAAGAUUCUAAAGAAAGAGAACACCUUCGAAAGGUCUUCUCAGGAGCAAGCGCCGAAGCUAUUAUCUAUAAAGCUUCGGCACAAUGACAGAUCUCAAGAUAAAGAGCCGAACCGACUUAAAGAUGGAUUGACUUAAAGACCCAUAAUGUUUUGUGUCAUUAUUGUAGUCGAUUAUAAAGGACAUAAAUGUAAUUUUACGCAGAUUGCACCCUGUGCCUAUAAAUAGGUGAAUAGUACCCCGACACUGUUCAUGGAAUCCUGUAAUCACUGGCACAUUACGCUUGAAUUAUUGCUUUCCGCCAAGGCGAAGGUAUAAAUGUGCCCAAAUACUAUGUUUUAAUAUUUAUAUUCAUACAAUAAAAUGUGUGAAUAUGUUUUAUACUUUGUACUUCAUUUUUCAUUAUUCAUUGUUUUGCAAGUAUGAUCACGAAGGUAAAAUCUUCGUGAUAUUUUACUCAUGACCUUCGUCCGAAGCUCAUUGGAUCCUUGGGGAGACAAUGCUUCAUCGGACGAAGGGCUUUAAUACUUAACAUCUUUGUGUUGCCUUGUUCUUAAUUCAUAGCAUUUGAGAACAAGUCCCCAAUAUUGGCGCCCACCUCCGGUGAACUCACUUCCACUUUCUGAGCUGAUGGCUUCGUUCAAAGCUGGAGUUGCUUCGGCUUCGAAGCUCGUACUCCCGAUAACAGGCGGUUCAUGCUCAAAGACAGCCAACAAGAAGCAGAAGAAGGAGGCACAGAGAAGGGUACAGCAUGUCGGGGUGCAAGGACCCUUCAUCAAGUCAAGAUGGUCCCACAUCCCGAUUACCUUCUCCCAAGAGGAUCUUCAGCUCAAGGAUUACCUUCACAAUGAUGCUAUGGUUAUUUCUUGUGUUAUCAAAAGAUUUUUGGUCCACAAUGUUCUGGUCGACACAGGCAGUGCAGCGGAUAUUAUAUUUGCUAAGGCCUUCAGACAGAUGCAAGAGCCCGAAGAUAAGAUCCAUGACGCCACACAUCCCCUUUGUGGCUUCGGAGGAAGGCAGAUUGUAGCACUUGGCAAGAUCACGAUACCAGUGACCUUCGGAUUUAUCAACAAUACAAGGACUGAACAAGUUGUGUUUGAUAUUGUUGACAUGGAGUACCUUACAACACAAUCAUUGGUCGUGGUACUCUCAAUGCUUUUGAAGCAAUUCUUCAUCCAGCAUAUCUUUGCAUGAAGAUACCUUCGGAUCAAGGGCCUAUUGCUAUUCAUGGAAGUCAGGAAGCUGCCAGAAAGGCCGAAGGAAACUGGACAGAUUCAAAAGCAAUCCAUAACAUAGAUGGAGCCGAAGCUUGUGAGCAAUACAAGUACAGAAGGGAGAAAGCUGCCUCGGCUGAUCAGCCGAAGCCCAUGCUCUUAUGUGACGAUAUAGCAGAGCAGAAGGUGCUAUUGGGAUCUCAAUUGUCUGAAGAGCAGGAGAAAACCCUA
This 7789-nucleotide long non-coding RNA is filed under the name Zea mays. RNAcentral's name for it is "long non-coding RNA (ZMAY_LNC001769)". Lineage: Eukaryota; Viridiplantae; Streptophyta; Magnoliopsida; Poales; Poaceae. The record is from RNAcentral.